GAGAAAUCAGGAUGGUGGUUGAUGGGAAGGAGCUACCAGGAGGGCCUCUGGGGACAAGAAAUGCUCUGAUCUGGAUGUCAAAUACAUUGAUGAUGGCUCCUGCUGCGGCUCUGGCCCUCCAGGCUCCUUUAUAAAGACCGACAAUUACAUGGGGCCCCCCAGGCUUCUCAGGAGCGGGGACCAGGUGUCACGUCUGUGUUCCCUGAUUGUUGGUGUCCAGUACUGAAGAAUGGCUACCGGUACCGAGUCAAUGGAGCAAAUGAGCAGACCAACCAGAUGCGAGCAAAGUGCCAGCGUUUAUUAAAGCACAGCUAGUCAUGUGAAACAGUGGGAGUAGAGAAGGAACAAGACACCCAUACCGGUUGUGAUCAAUGAGUUGUAAACACCACUGUGUCCAGUAUCCUUACAAAAGCCACAGAGAGAAGUGAAGGCGAUCAUCUGAAGACAGAGGCAGAGAUUGGAGUGAUGCAGCCACAAGCCAAGGGACUCCUGUUGCCGCCAGAAGCUGGGAGGGCAAGGAAAGCGCUCUCCCCUGAAGCCCUCAGGGGCACGUGGUCCUGCCAACACCAAGAAUUUAGCCCAGGAACACCCAUGUUGCACGUGUGUCCUCCAGACUGCGAAAGAAUAAUCUCUGUUGUGUCAAGCCCCUGAGUUUGAGGUAAUUUGUUAGGGAAGCUGUAGGAAACUAAUACAGCUACUCACUGGUUA
Lemur catta (Ring-tailed lemur) is the source of this 708-nucleotide long non-coding RNA. RefSeq lists it as uncharacterized. The transcript is spliced from 5 exons. The record is from RefSeq and is a predicted model, not a curated record. Lineage: Eukaryota; Metazoa; Chordata; Mammalia; Primates; Lemuridae.